UUCUGGCUCAGGAUGAACGCUAGCUACAGGCUUAACACAUGCAAGUCGAGGGGCAGCAUGUUGGUUGCUUGCAACCGAUGAUGGCGACCGGCGCACGGGUGAGUAACGCGUAUCCAACCUUCCCUAUAGUAGAGGAUAGCCCGGCGAAAGUCGGAUUAAUACUCUAUGUUGUUCAAUGCAGACAUCUAAGUUGAAUCAAAGGUUCACCGCUAUAGGAUGGGGGAUGCGUCUGAUUAGGUAGUCGGCGGGGUAACGGCCCACCGAGCCAUCGAUCAGUAGGGGUUCUGAGAGGAAGGUCCCCCACAUUGGAACUGAGACACGGUCCAAACUCCUACGGGAGGCAGCAGUGAGGAAUAUUGGUCAAUGGGCGAGAGCCUGAACCAGCCAAGUAAGCGUGCAGGAUGACGGCCCUAUGGGUUGUAAACUGCUUUUAUACAGGGAUAAAGUCGGGGACGUGUCCCCGUUUGUAGGUACUGUAUGAAUAAGGACCGGCUAAUUCCGUGCCAGCCGCGGC
This 514-nucleotide ribosomal RNA is filed under the name uncultured bacterium. RNAcentral describes it as "bacterial SSU rRNA". It matches the Rfam family "Bacterial small subunit ribosomal RNA", at positions 17 to 518 of the family's 1533-position model. The record is from RNAcentral.